RNAcentral lists this ribosomal RNA (1686 nucleotides) under Salmonella enterica subsp. diarizonae. RNAcentral describes it as "partial 23S ribosomal RNA". It matches the Rfam family "Bacterial large subunit ribosomal RNA", at positions 967 to 2637 of the family's 2925-position model. The record is from RNAcentral. Lineage: Bacteria; Pseudomonadati; Pseudomonadota; Gammaproteobacteria; Enterobacterales; Enterobacteriaceae.
GAAUGUUAUCACGGGAGACACACGGCGGGUGCUAACGUCCGUCGUGAAGAGGGAAACAACCCAGACCGCCAGCUAAGGUCCCAAAGUCAUGGUUAAGUGGGAAACGAUGUGGGAAGGCCCAGACAGCCAGGAUGUUGGCUUAGAAGCAGCCAUCAUUUAAAGAAAGCGUAAUAGCUCACUGGUCGAGUCGGCCUGCGCGGAAGAUGUAACGGGGCUAAACCAUGCACCGAAGCUGCGGCAGCGACACUUUAGUGUUGUUGGGUAGGGGAGCGUUCUGUAAGCCGUUGAAGGUGUCCUGUGAGGGGUGCUGGAGGUAUCAGAAGUGCGAAUGCUGACAUAAGUAACGAUAAAGCGGGUGAAAAGCCCGCUCGCCGGAAGACCAAGGGUUCCUGUCCAACGUUAAUCGGGGCAGGGUGAGUCGACCCCUAAGGCGAGGCCGAAAGGCGUAGUCGAUGGGAAACGGGUUAAUAUUCCCGUACUUGGUGUUACUGCGAAGGGGGGACGGAGAAGGCUAUGUUGGCCGGGCGACGGUAGUCCCGGUUUAAGCGUGUAGGCUGGUUUUCCAGGCAAAUCCGGAAAAUCAAGGCUGAGGCGUGAUGACGAGGCACCACGGUGCUGAAGCAACAAAUGCCCUGCUUCCAGGAAAAGCCUCUAAGCAUCAGGUAACAUCAAAUCGUACCCCAAACCGACACAGGUGGUCAGGUAGAGAAUACCAAGGCGCUUGAGAGAACUCGGGUGAAGGAACUAGGCAAAAUGGUGCCGUAACUUCGGGAGAAGGCACGCUGACACGUAGGUGAAGUGAUUUACUCAUGGAGCUGAAGUCAGUCGAAGAUACCAGCUGGCUGCAACUGUUUAUUAAAAACACAGCACUGUGCAAACACGAAAGUGGACGUAUACGGUGUGACGCCUGCCCGGUGCCGGAAGGUUAAUUGAUGGGGUCAGCGCAAGCGAAGCUCCUGAUCGAAGCCCCGGUAAACGGCGGCCGUAACUAUAACGGUCCUAAGGUAGCGAAAUUCCUUGUCGGGUAAGUUCCGACCUGCACGAAUGGCGUAAUGAUGGCCAGGCUGUCUCCACCCGAGACUCAGUGAAAUUGAACUCGCUGUGAAGAUGCAGUGUACCCGCGGCAAGACGGAAAGACCCCGUGAACCUUUACUAUAGCUUGACACUGAACAUUGAGCCUUGAUGUGUAGGAUAGGUGGGAGGCUUUGAAGCGUGGACGCCAGUCUGCGUGGAGCCGACCUUGAAAUACCACCCUUUAAUGUUUGAUGUUCUAACGUGGACCCGUAAUCCGGGUUGCGGACAGUGUCUGGUGGGUAGUUUGACUGGGGCGGUCUCCUCCUAAAGAGUAACGGAGGAGCACGAAGGUUGGCUAAUCCUGGUCGGACAUCAGGAGGUUAGUGCAAUGGCAUAAGCCAGCUUGACUGCGAGCGUGACGGCGCGAGCAGGUGCGAAAGCAGGUCAUAGUGAUCCGGUGGUUCUGAAUGGAAGGGCCAUCGCUCAACGGAUAAAAGGUACUCCGGGGAUAACAGGCUGAUACCGCCCAAGAGUUCAUAUCGACGGCGGUGUUUGGCACCUCGAUGUCGGCUCAUCACAUCCUGGGGCUGAAGUAGGUCCCAAGGGUAUGGCUGUUCGCCAUUUAAAGUGGUACGCGAGCUGGGUUUAGAACGUCGUGAGACAGUUCGGUCC